GGCGGUUUUGUUUAUGUGUCUGUAAUCAAGAAAUAUUUUUUUUAAAGACCAGAUUAUAAGCAGACAGUUAGUAAAUGUAUUCCAACAAUUCAUGUAUUAAACAUCGUGUAAUACAUUUAGAUUCUUACGUUGAUACUAGUGAAAAGGUCCGAAAAAUACAAAUUGAAAAGACAAAUGAUUAAUGAAAAGAUUAGAUUUACGUUUAACAGCUGGACGCGAAUAACCCCUGCACUUCUCUUAUACAACAGUAAACCCUUGCUAAAGUGAGGCAUCCGUUCGG
Molecule: long non-coding RNA, 280 nt
Filed under: Mytilus galloprovincialis (Mediterranean mussel)
Lineage: Eukaryota; Metazoa; Mollusca; Bivalvia; Mytilida; Mytilidae
Source: RNAcentral